RNAcentral lists this ribosomal RNA (473 nucleotides) under uncultured Sporacetigenium sp. RNAcentral describes it as "partial 16S ribosomal RNA". Lineage: Bacteria; Bacillati; Bacillota; Clostridia; Peptostreptococcales; Tepidibacteraceae. The record is from RNAcentral.
CACGUAGUUAGCCGGGGCUUCCUCCUCAAGUACCGUCAUUAUCUUCCUUGAGGACAGAGCUUUACGACCCGAAGGCCUUCAUCACUCACGCGGCGUUGCUGCAUCAGGCUUUCGCCCAUUGUGCAAUAUUCCCCACUGCUGCCUCCCGUAGGAGUUUGGACCGUGUCUCAGUUCCAAUGUGGCCGAUCACCCUCUCAGGUCGGCUACUGAUCGUCGCCUUGGUAAGCCGUUACCUUACCAACUAGCUAAUCAGACGCGGGUCCAUCCUGUACCGCAAAAACUUUGAUACUUCUACCAUGCGAUAAAAGUAUUUUAUCUCGUAUUAGCAUACCUUUCGGUAUGUUAUCCGUGUGUACAGGGCAGGUUACCCACGCGUUACUCACCCGUCCGCCGCUCUUUACCGAAGUAAAUCGCUCGACUUGCAUGUGUUAGGCACGCCGCCAGCGUUCAUCCUGAGCCAGGAUACAAACUCU